Molecule: unclassified non-coding RNA, 1348 nt
Filed under: Hevea brasiliensis (rubber tree)
Lineage: Eukaryota; Viridiplantae; Streptophyta; Magnoliopsida; Malpighiales; Euphorbiaceae
Source: RNAcentral
AAUUUUUACUCUCCCCAUUUUCACAUUUCUUGUGUUUUCAUCUUUGAUUUUCUUCGAAACUUGUUUCAAUUCUUUAACUCGGGGGUUUUUUACAAGCUUCAAUUAUUGUUCAGUAUCAGAGAAAAUUUGCGAUUUUGACUUCUUUAGAGUAUUCAAAGUGAUUUUUCGUUGAGGUAAGAACCACGGGCUUUCUUCUUCUUCUUCUUCUUUGAUUAUGAUUUUAGCGUAAAAAUGGGUUUUAGGGGUCAUUUUUGUUAUUAUUCAAUCGUGGAUUCUGUUUUCAUGGCGUUUUGAUCAUGUGGGAAGAGAGGAAAUGUUAAGUUUCAGCUCAAAAUUUGGUUCUUCUGAAAAAGAAAUUGUCAGGGCUUUGUUUCUCCUAUAUUUGAAUUUGAAGGAAUAGGCGAGUCUGGUGAUCUUGAAGUAGAAAGUUUUUAUUUUUGCUGGAUGACGAAUCAUGUAAGUUUAUUCUCUUAUUUUAUGUUUCUAAAUUUUAUUUUUUUGGGUUUGGUACUAUGUUUCUGGAUUAUUUGGUCAUCUGCAACUGAACAGUGAGAUUAUCCGUUAGUGAGAUUCUUGGGGUUUUGCUGUUUCUGGAACUGGGUUUUAUCGCCCAAUGAAAUUAUGGAACUGGAUAUGGCGACAGAAGCUUUUGGGGUUUGUUGACUUGCGAACACUGAUUUGAUGAAGAAUAGGGAAGUAAAAUUGGGAGUGGAAAUUGACAUACUUUUGGGCUGAAAAGAAUUAUAGUUGGUGUUGGGGGACUUGGAUUUUAAAGUGAAGAAGAAAUUGGUCAUUUGAAGUUAAGUGGAUUUUUAGGGUUUUCUUGUUCUUGAGGCUGAACUUAAAAAUGGAUGACACUGAGGAUGAUGCAAGGUACCCCCCAAACCCAUAUGGUGUGAAUCACCAGCAGGGUUAUGGUUCUUCAAAUCGACAAAAACUUCCUGUGAAGAAUUCUCCAUAUUCCAGGACAGUGGGCAAUCAAUAUGUUGAUGAUGACGAGGAAGAUGAGAAUGAAGGAGAAGAUGAAGAGGAGUUGGGGGAGGAUGAUGGGGAGAAUAAUCAAAAUAAUGGUAUCCAGUAUGUGGGAAAGGAAGUGGAUGAUGAUGACUACGAUGAGGAUGAUGAGGAUGCAGAUGUUGAUGAAGAAGAGGAUGAGGAGGAUAAUCAAAAGAACUAUAGUAGGAGGAUCAAUGAUGUUGAUUUGGAAAGGCAUCCUAAGAUGCGAAAGCUAAAGAGCAUAGUUUCAAGCUAUGAAUUUGCACCUCGUGUCCCAGCACCUCCUGUUACUGCCUCAUCAGCUCCAAAACCUUCAUUUGCUGGGCGGAAUCCACUUACUGAUUGGACUGAG